Molecule: ribosomal RNA, 863 nt
Filed under: uncultured bacterium
Lineage: Bacteria
Description: bacterial SSU rRNA
Rfam family: Bacterial small subunit ribosomal RNA
Source: RNAcentral
ACAUGCAGUCGAGGGGCAGCAUAAUGGAUAGCAAUAUCUAUGGUGGCGACCGGCGCACGGGUGCGUAACGCGUAUGCAACCUACCUUUAACAGGGGGAUAACACUGAGAAAUUGGUACUAAUACCCCAUAAUAUCAUAGAAGGCAUCUUUUAUGGUUGAAAAUUCCGAUGGUUAGAGAUGGGCAUGCGUUGUAUUAGCUAGUUGGUGGGGUAACGGCUCACCAAGGCGACGAUACAUAGGGGGACUGAGAGGUUAACCCCCCACACUGGUACUGAGACACGGACCAGACUCCUACGGGAGGCAGCAGUGAGGAAUAUUGGUCAAUGGACGCAAGUCUGAACCAGCCAUGCCGCGUGCAGGAUGACGGCUCUAUGAGUUGUAAACUGCUUUUGUACGAGGGUAAACGCAGAUACGUGUAUCUGUCUGAAAGUAUCGUACGAAUAAGGAUCGGCUAACUCCGUGCCAGCAGCCGCGGUAAUACGGAGGAUUCAAGCGUUAUCCGGAUUUAUUGGGUUUAAAGGGUGCGUAGGCGGUUUGAUAAGUUAGAGGUGAAAUUUCGGGGCUCAACCCUGAACGUGCCUCUAAUACUGUUGAGCUAGAGAGUAGUUGCGGUAGGCGGAAUGUAUGGUGUAGCGGUGAAAUGCUUAGAGAUCAUACAGAACACCGAUUGCGAAGGCAGCUUACCAAACUAUAUCUGACGUUGAGGCACGAAAGCGUGGGGAGCAAACAGGAUUAGAUACCCUGGUAGUCCACGCAGUAAACGAUGAUACUCGUUGUCGGCGAUACACAGUCGGUGACUAAGCGAAAGCGAUAAGUUAUCCACCUGGGGAGUACGUUCGCAAGAAUGAAACUCAAGGAAUUGA